ACUCGAGUGGCGAACGGGUGAGUAACACGUGGGUGAUCUGCCUUGCACUUCGGGAUAAGCUUGGGAAACUGGGUCUAAUACCGGAUAGGACAGCUGUUUAGUGUCAGUUGUGGAAAGUUUUUUCGGUGCAAGAUGAGCUCGCGGCCUAUCAGCUUGUUGGUGGGGUAAUGGCCUACCAAGGCGUCGACGGGUAGCCGGCCUGAGAGGGUGGACGGCCACAUUGGGACUGAGAUACGGCCCAG
RNAcentral lists this ribosomal RNA (242 nucleotides) under uncultured Actinomycetales bacterium. RNAcentral's name for it is "partial 16S ribosomal RNA". It matches the Rfam family "Bacterial small subunit ribosomal RNA", at positions 89 to 334 of the family's 1533-position model. Lineage: Bacteria; Bacillati; Actinomycetota; Actinomycetes; Actinomycetales. The record is from RNAcentral.